Molecule: ribosomal RNA, 285 nt
Filed under: uncultured bacterium
Lineage: Bacteria
Description: partial 16S ribosomal RNA
Rfam family: Bacterial small subunit ribosomal RNA
Source: RNAcentral
UGUCAGCCGCCGCGGUAAUACGGAGGGUCCAAGCGUUAUCCGGAUUUAUUGGGUUUAAAGGGUGCGUAGGCGGAAUAAUAAGUCAGUGGUGAAAUCCUGCGGCUCAACCGUAGAACUGCCAUUGAUACUGUUAUUCUUGAAUAUAGUUGAGGUAGGCGGAAUGUGUAAUGUAGCGGUGAAAUGCUUAGAUAUUACACAGAACACCGAUUGCGAAGGCAGCUUGCUAAACUAUGAUUGAUACUGACACUGAGGUGCGAAAGCGUGGGGAGCAAACAGGAUUAGAUA